UACGAGGGGGGCAAGCGUUGUUCGGAAUUAUUGGGCGUAAAGGGCGCGUAGGCGGUUUGACAAGUCUGAUGUGAAAUCUCUGGGCUCAACCCAGAGUCUGCAUUAGAAACUGUCGAGCUUGAGUAUGGGAGAGGUGAGUGGAAUUUCCGGUGUAGCGGUGAAAUGCGUAGAUAAUCGGAAGGAACACCUGGUGGCGAAAAGCGGCUCACUGGACCAUAACUGACGCUGGAGGCGACGAAAGCCUAGGGGAGCAAACAGG
RNAcentral lists this ribosomal RNA (259 nucleotides) under uncultured bacterium. RNAcentral's name for it is "partial 16S ribosomal RNA". It matches the Rfam family "Bacterial small subunit ribosomal RNA", at positions 524 to 776 of the family's 1533-position model. The record is from RNAcentral.